GACAGCACAAACCAGUCACUCUGGAGAAAACACGCACACACGCUCUCAGACACAAGCGCUCGCGUGCACACGUGUGCGCGCGCAGACACACACACACACACACACACACACACAGGCAUCCAGGAGCAGCCGCCGCCAUAAUAAUGGAAGCAGACAAACCUGCUCAGCCCACGGAGUCUGCUGUGAAUUUAGAAAGGAGAAGAGAGGAAGAAAAGAAAUCACAGCUGAAAGAGCAAGCCUUUCUGUGCACCUUUGCAGAGAAAACUCAGUGCUUAGAGCCGAUUUUAUGGCUCACUCAUUGGUUUUCAGGCCUGACACUGCCUACCCUUCUUGGUUGAGCAGCUCAGAAAGGCUCAAAGCCAUCCUGACUCAUCUCAUCCAGAGCCUCAGCUCUGCCAGCCCCUCUCUGGGACCUGAGCUGGCCUUACCCAGGAUUCUCAGGACCCUAGACCUCAGUAGGUGGGAAAGAAUUGGGUCUCCAUAUACCAGGGAAGAGGAUAAAUAGGUCCAAGGUUGAAGAUUUGUGGCCCCUUACCAGAGCCAGCAUGGCCUGCAGACCGGGGUGUUGGCAAAAAGCCAUUUUAGAAGGGUGUAGAUAAAAUGCCCAUCACCUCAGGGCUGAGGGUUCUUAGACUGGGUGGAUAAGUCAUUACCUUUUCAGGACAGUUUUGAAAUUAUCAACUUUCCUGUUCUGUGGUGCCUGGGUUGGGUACAGAGGAGAAGCAGCAAGUGCAUUUCUGUUGUUAAAGAAAAAUAAUUCAUAGCCGGGCGUGGUGUCACAUGCCUGUAAUUUCAGCAGUUAGGGAGGCUAAGGCAGAAGGAUCACAAGUUCAGGGCCAGCCUCAGUAACUUAGCAAGGCCCUUAGUAAAUUAGAUAAGGCCCUGUCUCAAAAUAAAAAAUAAAAAGGCUGAGGAUGUGGCUUUGUGAUAAAGCACCCCUGGGUUGAAUCAGAAGAAGAAGGAGGAGAAGAAGAAGAAAAGGAGGAAAAG
RNAcentral lists this long non-coding RNA (990 nucleotides) under Marmota monax (woodchuck). The record is from RNAcentral. Lineage: Eukaryota; Metazoa; Chordata; Mammalia; Rodentia; Sciuridae.